RNAcentral lists this ribosomal RNA (468 nucleotides) under uncultured bacterium. RNAcentral describes it as "partial 16S ribosomal RNA". It matches the Rfam family "Bacterial small subunit ribosomal RNA", at positions 28 to 507 of the family's 1533-position model. The record is from RNAcentral.
GACGAACGCUGGCGGCGUGCUUAACACAUGCAAGUCGAACGGAAAGGCCCUGCUUUUGUGGGGUGCUCGAGUGGCGAACGGGUGAGUAACACGUGAGUAACCUGCCCUUGACUUUGGGAUAACUUCAGGAAACUGGGGCUAAUACCGGAUAGGAGCUCCUGAUGCACGGUGGGGGUUGGAAAGUUUCGGCGGUUGGGGAUGGACUAGCGGCUUAUCAGCUUGUUGGUGGGGUAGUGGCUUACCAAGGCUUUGACGGGUAGCCGGCCUGAGAGGGUGACCGGCCACAUUGGGACUGAGGUACGGCCCAGACUCCUACGGGAGGCAGCAGUGGGGAAUAUGGCGCAAUGGGCGGAAGCCUGAUGCAGCAACGCCGCGUGCGGGAUAACGGCCUUCGGGUUGUAAACCUCUUUCGCCUGUGACGAAGCGUGAGUGACGGUAAUGGGUAAAGAAGCACCGGCUAACUACGUG